This 423-nucleotide ribosomal RNA is filed under the name uncultured bacterium. RNAcentral's name for it is "bacterial SSU rRNA". It matches the Rfam family "Bacterial small subunit ribosomal RNA", at positions 207 to 622 of the family's 1533-position model. The record is from RNAcentral.
AAGACCUUGCGCUUUUGGAGCGGCCGAUGCCUGAUUAGCUAGUUGGUAGGGUAAAGGCCUACCAAGGCGUCGAUCAGUAGUUGGUCUGAGAGGACGACCAGCCACACUGGGACUGAGACACGGCCCAGACUCCUACGGGAGGCAGCAGUGGGGAAUUUUGGACAAUGGGCGCAAGCCUGAUCCAGCAAUGCCGCGUGAGUGAAGAAGGCCUUCGGGUUGUAAAGCUCCUUCAGUCGAGAAGAAAAGAUUACGACUAAUAAUCGUAAUUCAUGACGGUACCGACAGAAGAAGCACCGGCUAACUACGUGCCAGCAGCCGCGGUAAUACGUAGGGUGCGAGCGUUAAUCGGAAUUACUGGGCGUAAAGGGUGCGCAGGCGGCCUUGUAAGUCAGAUGUGAAAUCCCCGGGCUUAACCUGGGAACU